UGCUGUUUAUGAUGAUUGUUUAAUACAAUGGGAAUCUCUCUGAAUAAGAGUGAAAGACACAUUUGUACUGAAACAGUA
This is a small nucleolar RNA of Hemibagrus wyckioides, 78 nucleotides long. RefSeq annotates it as small nucleolar RNA SNORD79. The transcript has a single exon. The record is from RefSeq and is a predicted model, not a curated record. NCBI's taxonomy places the organism in Eukaryota, Metazoa, Chordata, Actinopteri, Siluriformes, Bagridae.